Molecule: ribosomal RNA, 481 nt
Filed under: uncultured bacterium
Lineage: Bacteria
Description: partial 16S ribosomal RNA
Rfam family: Bacterial small subunit ribosomal RNA
Source: RNAcentral
GAUGAACGCUGGCGGCGUGCCUAACACAUGCAAGUCGAGCGAAGCGCUUAAAUUAGAUUUCUUCGGAAUGACGAUUUUUGUGACUGAGCGGCGGACGGGUGAGUAACGCGUGGGUAACCUGCCUCAUACAGGGGGAUAACAGUUAGAAAUGACUGCUAAUACCGCAUAAGACCCCAGCUUCGCAUGAAGCGGUGGUAAAAACUCCGGUGGUAUUAGAUGGACCCGCGUCUGAUUAGCUAGUUGGUAAGGUAACGGCUUACCAAGGCGACGAUCAGUAGCCGACCUGAGAGGAUGACCAGCCACAUUGGGACUGAGACACGGCCCAGACUCCUACGGGAGGCAGCAGUGGGGAAUAUUGCACAAUGGGGGAAAGCCUGAUGCAGCGACGCCGCGUGAAGGAUGAAGUAUUUCGGGAUGUAAACUUCUAUCAGCAGGGAAGAAAGUGACGGUACCUGACGAAGAAGCCCCGGCUAACUACGUG